CGCGUAGGUGGCUUGGCAAGUUGGGUGUGAAAGCCCAGGGCUCAACCCUGGAAUUGCACUCAAGACUGCCUUGCUUGAAUUCGGUAGAGGUUGGUGGAAUUCCCAGUGUAGAGGUGAAAUUCGUAGAGAUUGGGAAGAACACCCGUGGCGAAGGCGGCCAACUGGACCGACAUUGACACUGAGGCGCGAAAGCGUGGGGAUCAAACAGGAUUAGAUACCCUGGUAGUCCACGCCGUAAACGAUGCAUGCUAGACGUUGGAAGGCUUAGCUUUCUUGUGUCGCAGCUAACGCAUUAAGCAUGCCGCCUGGGGAGUACGGCCGCAAGGUUGAA
RNAcentral lists this ribosomal RNA (331 nucleotides) under uncultured bacterium. RNAcentral describes it as "bacterial SSU rRNA". It matches the Rfam family "Bacterial small subunit ribosomal RNA", at positions 568 to 898 of the family's 1533-position model. The record is from RNAcentral.